GAUGAACGCUGGCGGCGUGCCUAAUACAUGCGAGUCGAGCGAACAGACGAGGAGCUUGCUCCUCUGACGUUAGCGGCGGACGGGUGAGUAACACGUGGAUAACCUACCUAUAAGACUGGGAUAACUUCGGGAAACCGGAGCUAAUACCGGAUAAUAUAUUGAACCGCAUGGUUCAAUAGUGAAAGACGGUUUUGCUGUCACUUAUAGAUGGAUCCGCGCCGCAUUAGCUAGUUGGUAAGGUAACGGCUUACCAAGGCAACGAUGCGUAGCCGACCUGAGAGGGUGAUCGGCCACACUGGAACUGAGACACGGUCCACACUCCUACGGGAGGCAGCAGUAGGGAAUCUUCCGCAAUGGGCGAAAGCCUGACGGAGCAACGCCGCGUGAGUGAUGAAGGUCUUCGGAUCGUAAAACUCUGUUAUUAGGGAAGAACAAAUGUGUAAGUAACUAUGCACGUCUUGACGGUACCUAAUCAGAAAGCCACGGCUAACUACGUG
Molecule: ribosomal RNA, 497 nt
Filed under: uncultured bacterium
Lineage: Bacteria
Description: partial 16S ribosomal RNA
Rfam family: Bacterial small subunit ribosomal RNA
Source: RNAcentral